UUGCAAGUCACGUGUUGGUUGGUGUUUACGGGGUUGGGCUUGUAUUGUGAAGAUACAUUCCAAAACUUGACUAUAAAUACAGUAACAGUACCAGACAACAUUACUGUGGAUGAAAAAAACUCAAGGCAGCAUGACUACAGACCUGGCAAGAUCCUGGUACCCAGCACCGCCUGUAGUAUUGGGACCCAGGCAGUGUGUGAAAGGAGACCCCAAAGACACGGUGCCUGUUCCCUACCAUGAGCCGUUGAAAAAGUCCACUCACACCUUUCUCCAGGUUCAAGAGCCGGUGUCACCAGGUCCUGAAUGCCUUCUUGUGAAUAUCUUUAAUGUCUCUAAAGGAGUCAAGGUUCCUGUGACCGUGGAGAGUAUCGAUACUAUCGGGAAACUGCAGCAGGAGGCCCUGAAGCUGAAACCAGAACUCGGAGCGAACCUGAAUCUGAUCUACAAUGGCAAACCGGUUCAGCUGCACCAGACGCUGUCGGAGCUUCAAGUGAAGCCUGGAGCCACGUUCAUCACCUACCAGAAAUGCCACGGAGGUUAACCAGGAUGUAGACACAUCACAUUUUUUUUCCUCUGUUUAUCUGUACUUUAUUCUUAAAUCUCACUGUAAAUGUACUUUAUUCACAAACUUUUAGAUUCUUUACCGUUAGCUGAUAUGAUGUCAUACAUCAAUCGAAGGUUUGAAUGUACAUGACGCAGUUUAAUCAUCAUUAACGCAACAAGCCCUGUUGAUACGAACGUAAAUAAAAGUGAAACAAAUUUAACAGAAGUCGAAGCUGCAAGAAGACAUGAAUAUUAAUUGUGUUUUAAGUGUUUUGUUUAACCUGAUGGAACAAAGAUGUACUUUUUUCUUUCUUGUUAUACUUUAAGUUCUUUAAGAAUUCAACCGAAAGAGUUUGUGACGAAGGAAAAUACUCAAAUUAAAAUGUCAUCAAAAUGUAUUUUUAAAUGAACUGUAAAUUUGCACUUUUCUUAUGUAAAUUUGACUUCUAGUUUAAUAAAAAAUACUUUUCAACCACUGGUAAUAAAUUGUAUUAUGCAUUCUUUAUUUUUUCAAUGCUAUUUUAUUAUGAAGAGCAUCAUGAGCUUCAAUGGAAGCAGGACAUCUGUAUACCGUCUGUAUAAGAGUCACAUGAUCAGUAUCAGCAAGAAAAAGAGCAGAAUCUUAACUAUAUCCUCUUUUUUGCCAUUAUGUUUAGUUUUAUGAGUUUAUUAACGGUACAGUUAUUAAACAGUUAUUUUAUUUUUAUUUUUUUUGCACAUACAAAUGUCCAUCUAUCCAUUUUUCCUAAUUGCUUGCCAUAGGGUUGCGGGACAUGAAUGUUUCUUACUAAAAGAUGGAAGGUAGACUGGUAGCUAUUCUGUGAGUUAUGAAGGGGAAAAAAAAGUCAUUUGCCCCCCAAAACUCCACAGUCAGCAAGGGAACUUCUUCCUGUAGGACAUGGGCUGUCAUUCACAACAGUGAUAUUAUAAUCUCAGUGAAACUGAAAUUCAUGUAUCAGCUGUCAUGUAGAUCCUUAAUCAAAAUCAGGAAGAGCUUUAAUCGCCAAGUGUGUUUGCACGCAAGGAUUUUUUCUUGGUACUGAAGCUUCCAGUGCACAUAUGCAAAUACAAAUAAAACAGUAAUACAAAUUUAAGAAUAAAAAAAAAAAUAUAUAUAUAUAUAUAUAUAUAUAUAUAUAAAAAAGUAUAAAGACAGGUUUAGUCAUAACAAACAUUUACAGAUUAUGAACAUAUGUACAGUAUUAUGAAUAAAUAUCAGCUGAGUUUAGUGUUUAGUUAUCAACUGAAUCACCAGAUAUAACACAAAUGAAGUACAGCACAUAAAAGAAAAGCAAAUGAAUUUUUGGCAGGCAUUUCCUGUAAGUCGUGUGGUGGUUGCUGUUUGCGGGGUUGGGCAUGUAUUGUCAACAAGCUCUGCUGUGAAGAUAGGUACAUUCCAAAACUUGACCAUAAAUACAGUGGCAGCACCAGACAACAUUACUGUGGAUGAAAGCAACUCAAGGCAGCAUGACUACAGACGUUUACCCAGCACCGCCUGUAGCAUUGGGACCCACGCAGUGUGUGAAAGGAGACCCCAAAGACACGGUGCCUGUUCCCUACCAUGAGCCGUUGAAAAAGUCCACUCACACCGUUCUCCAGGCUCAAGGACCGGUUUCACCAGGUCCUGAACGCCUUCUUGUGAAUAUCUUUAAUGGCUCUAAAGGAAUCAAGGUUUCUGUGACCGUGAGGAGCACCGAUACUAUCGGGAAGCUGCAGCAGAAGGCCCUGAAGCGGAAACCAGAACUCGGAGGCUGUGUGAAUCUGCUCUACAAUGGCAAACCGGUUCAGCAGCACAAGACAAUGUCUGAGCUCCAAGUGAAACCUGGAGCCACGUUCAUCACCUACCAGAAAUGCCAUGGAGGUUAAAAAAAGACUUUUCUUGUCUUCUCAUUUCUGUUUACUUUUAAUUCACAUUAUUAUUCACUAUUAUUCUUAUAUUAUAAUGUGCCAUGUGUCAUACAGUAUAUCAGUCAAAGACACAUUUUACUGAAAUUGCAUCUAAUGAUGUAAGAUACUAAUAAACUUUUGACCUACUUUAUACUUGAAUUAUGCGUAAAUGACACUGUCAUGUCUUCUGCACGCUGUAAUUUCAUUGUUUUGAUCAAUUUACUCUUAACAUAAAUUUGAAAAAUAGCAAAAAUAAAGAAUGAGAAACGCACAGAUAAAUCCAUGCUAAAUUGUUACUGUAUAACUAAAAUAUUUAUAGUUAAAACUUUCAGUACAAAGCUGUGUAAAAUGUUUUUUUUUUUUUUGUGUUGCUUCUAAAUAACAAUACAACCAGCCUAGUCCAUGCAAAUGAAAGUAAAAGCAAACAAACUAAUAAAACUGAAAGCAAACGUG
Molecule: long non-coding RNA, 2883 nt
Organism: Ctenopharyngodon idella (grass carp)
Lineage: Eukaryota; Metazoa; Chordata; Actinopteri; Cypriniformes; Xenocyprididae
Exons: 3
Source: RefSeq, a predicted model, not a curated record